AGCUCUGUCAGCUCAUGCAGUAUUUUCAUAUAUUCUUCGUCAGCAAUUGCUUUGCUAAGUUGAAGGUCAGCUUUUGUUUUCUCAGCUUGUUCAAGUCUUUCCUUCCAUUUCUCCAGUUCUUGUUUAAGACUUUCCAUCUCAUCUUUGGACGUGUCAGAAGGGUCAGGGGUUGUCAAAAGAAAGCCAUUGUCUUUCAAAGAAUACAGUGAGCUUGAUAAAUCCAUUGGAACCUGCGGAAGCGGCGGGACGGCGGCGGGCCCUGCGGAGCUCCCGGCGGGACGCCUCUCCCUGCCCCCUUCCCUCCCGCGGCCGCCGGCUUCUGCUUUCGCUUUCCCUCCCGCUGGAGG
RNAcentral lists this long non-coding RNA (347 nucleotides) under Gallus gallus (chicken). The record is from RNAcentral. Lineage: Eukaryota; Metazoa; Chordata; Aves; Galliformes; Phasianidae.